RNAcentral lists this ribosomal RNA (242 nucleotides) under uncultured bacterium. RNAcentral describes it as "partial 16S ribosomal RNA". It matches the Rfam family "Bacterial small subunit ribosomal RNA", at positions 92 to 334 of the family's 1533-position model. The record is from RNAcentral.
CGACCGGCGCACGGGUGCGUAACGCGUAUGCAACCUACCUUUAACAGGGGAGUAACACUGAGAAAUUGGUACUAAUACCCCAUAAUAUCAUAGAAGGCAUCUUUUAUGGUUGAAAAUUCCGAUGGUUAGAGAUGGGCAUGCGUUGUAUUAGCUAGUUGGUGGGGUAACGGCUCACCAAGGCGACGAUACAUAGGGGGACUGAGAGGUUAACCCCCCACCACUGGUACUGAGACACGGACCAG